This 401-nucleotide ribosomal RNA is filed under the name uncultured bacterium. RNAcentral's name for it is "bacterial SSU rRNA". It matches the Rfam family "Bacterial small subunit ribosomal RNA", at positions 32 to 422 of the family's 1533-position model. The record is from RNAcentral.
AAUCAACGCUGGCGGCGUGCCUCAGACAUGCAAGUCGAACGAUUAAAGCUCUCUUCGGAGAGUGUAUAGAGUGGCGCACGGGUGAGUAACACGUAAGUAAUCUACCUUCGAGUGGGGAAUAACGUCCGGAAACGGACGCUAAUACCGCAUAAUGCAGCGGCAUCGCAAGAUGACAGUUGUUAAAGGAAUUUAUUUCGCUUGAAGAGGAGCUUGCGGCAGAUAGCUAGUUGGUAAGGUAAUGGCUUACCAAGGCUACGAUCUGUAACCGGUCUAAGAGGACGGUCGGUCACACUGACACUGAAUAACGGGUCAGACUCCUACGGGAGGCAGCAGUCGGGAAUUUUGGGCAAUGGGCGAAAGCCUGACCCAGCAACGCCGCGUGAAGGAUGAAGUAUUUCGGU